RNAcentral lists this ribosomal RNA (934 nucleotides) under Cortinarius anisodorus. RNAcentral's name for it is "eukaryotic LSU rRNA". It matches the Rfam family "Eukaryotic large subunit ribosomal RNA", at positions 40 to 961 of the family's 3401-position model. Lineage: Eukaryota; Fungi; Basidiomycota; Agaricomycetes; Agaricales; Cortinariaceae. The record is from RNAcentral.
AUAUCAAUAAGCGGAGGAAAAGAAACUAACAAGGAUUCCCCUAGUAACUGCGAGUGAAGCGGGAAAAGCUCAAAUUUAAAAUCUGUCAGUCUUUGGCUGUCCGAGUUGUAAUCUAGAGAAGCGUUAUCCGCGCUGGACCGUGUACAAGUCUCCUGGAAUGGAGCGUCAUAGAGGGUGAGAAUCCCGUCUUUGACACGGACUGCCAGGGCUUUGUGAUGCGCUCUCAAAGAGUCGAGUUGUUUGGGAAUGCAGCUCAAAAUGGGUGGUAAAUUCCAUCUAAAGCUAAAUAUUGGCGAGAGACCGAUAGCGAACAAGUACCGUGAGGGAAAGAUGAAAAGAACUUUGGAAAGAGAGUUAAACAGUACGUGAAAUUGCUGAAAGGGAAACGCUUGAAGUCAGUCGCGUUGUCCAGGGAUCAACCUUGCUUUUGCUUGGUGUACUUUCUGGUUGACGGGUCAGCAUCAAUUUUGACUAUUGGAAAAAGAUUAGGGGAAUGUGGCAUCUUCGGAUGUGUUAUAGCCCUUGGUUGCAUACAAUGGUUGGGAUUGAGGAACUCAGCACGCCGAAAGGCCGGGUUUUAACCACGUACGUGCUUAGGAUGCUGGCAUAAUGGCUUUAAUCGACCCGUCUUGAAACACGGACCAAGGAGUCUAACAUGCCUGCGAGUGUUUGGGUGGAAAACCCGAGCGCGUAAUGAAAGUGAAAGUUGAGAUCCUUGUCAUGGGGAGCAUCGACGCCCGGACCAGACCUUUUGUGACGGUUCCGCGGUAGAGCAUGUAUGUUGGGACCCGAAAGAUGGUGAACUAUGCCUGAAUAGGGUGAAGCCAGAGGAAACUCUGGUGGAGGCUCGUAGCGAUUCUGACGUGCAAAUCGAUCGUCAAAUUUGGGUAUAGGGGCGAAAGACUAAUCGAACCAUCUAGUAGCUGGUUCCUGC